RNAcentral lists this ribosomal RNA (342 nucleotides) under Triticum aestivum (bread wheat). RNAcentral's name for it is "partial small subunit ribosomal RNA". Lineage: Eukaryota; Viridiplantae; Streptophyta; Magnoliopsida; Poales; Poaceae. The record is from RNAcentral.
GCAAAUAUUGUCACCAAGCUCUCAUCGUCAAGGUUGCAUAGUCGCUUGGGUCAUCCAUCUUCAGUCAUAGUUAGAUAUGUUCUUAGCAAAAAUAAACUCUCUUAUGAGCCUAGUGUUGAGUCAGUUUGUGAUCCUUGUCAACAAGCAAAAAGUCAUCAAUUACCUUACCCUAUUUCUACUAGUGUGUCUACUGCUCCUCUACAACUUAUCUUUUCAGAUGUAUGGGGGCCAGCUCCUACUUCAGUUGGUAGAUUUUUCUAUUAUGUAAGCUUUAUUGAUGACUAUAGUAAAUUUACUUGUAUUUAUUUACUAAAGAAACGAUCCGAUGUAUUCCAAGUUUUU